GACGAACGCUGGCGGCGUGCUUAACACAUGCAAGUCGAACGGAAAGGCCCUGCUUUUGUGGGGUGCUCGAGUGGCGAACGGGUGAGUAACACGUGAGUAACCUGCCCUUGACUUUGGGAUAACUUCAGGAAACUGGGGCUAAUACCGGAUAGGAGCUCCUGCUGCAUGGUGGGGGUUGGAAAGUUUCGGCGGUUGGGGAUGGACUCGCGGCUAUCAGCUUGUUGGUGGGGUAGUGGCUUACCAAGGCUUUGACGGGUAGCCGGCCUGAGAGGGUGACCGGCCACAUUGGGACUGAGAUACGGCCCAGACUCCUACGGGAGGCAGCAGUGGGGAAUAUUGCACAAUGGGCGGAAGCCUGAUGCAGCAACGCCGCGCGCGGGAUGACGGCCUUCGGGUUGUAAACCGCUUUCGCCUGUGACGAAGCGUGAGUGACGGUAAUGGGUAAAGAAGCACCGGCUAACUACGUG
This 467-nucleotide ribosomal RNA is filed under the name uncultured bacterium. RNAcentral describes it as "partial 16S ribosomal RNA". It matches the Rfam family "Bacterial small subunit ribosomal RNA", at positions 28 to 507 of the family's 1533-position model. The record is from RNAcentral.